RNAcentral lists this transfer RNA (91 nucleotides) under Monascus purpureus. Its description in RNAcentral is "tRNA-Ser". Lineage: Eukaryota; Fungi; Ascomycota; Eurotiomycetes; Eurotiales; Aspergillaceae. The record is from RNAcentral.
GGAAAAGUUGCUAUAGGUAGGGUAAGAUAUUUGCUAAAUAUUGUCUAUAAUAGACCUAGAUGUUCGAAUCAUCUCUUUUCCGAAGAGUUAA